RNAcentral lists this ribosomal RNA (254 nucleotides) under uncultured bacterium. RNAcentral's name for it is "partial 16S ribosomal RNA". It matches the Rfam family "Bacterial small subunit ribosomal RNA", at positions 524 to 776 of the family's 1533-position model. The record is from RNAcentral.
UACGUAGGGGGCGAGCGUUGUCCGGAUUUAUUGGGCGUAAAGAGCUCGUAGGCGGUUUGGCAAGUCGGGUGUGAAAACUCCGGGCUCAACUCGGAGACGCCACUCGAUACUGCUAUGACUCGAGUCCGGUAGGGGAGUGCGGAAUUCCUGGUGUAGCGGUGAAAUGCGCAGAUAUCAGGAGGAACACCGGUGGCGAAGGCGGCACUCUGGGCCGAUACUGACGCUGAGGAGCGAAAGCGUGGGGAGCGAACAGG